This 116-nucleotide ribosomal RNA is filed under the name Lecidella carpathica. Its description in RNAcentral is "partial 28S ribosomal RNA". It matches the Rfam family "Eukaryotic large subunit ribosomal RNA", at positions 1 to 115 of the family's 3401-position model. Lineage: Eukaryota; Fungi; Ascomycota; Lecanoromycetes; Lecanorales; Lecanoraceae. RNAcentral also lists the same sequence under 2 other names. The record is from RNAcentral.
UUGACCUCGGAUCAGGUAGGGAUACCCGCUGAACUUAAGCAUAUCAAUAAGCGGAGGAAAAGAAACCAACAGGGAUUGCCUCAGUAACGGCGAGUGAAGCGGCAACAGCUCAAAUA